This is a long non-coding RNA of Gopherus evgoodei (Goodes thornscrub tortoise), 101 nucleotides long. RefSeq lists it as uncharacterized. The transcript has 3 exons. The record is from RefSeq and is a predicted model, not a curated record. Lineage: Eukaryota; Metazoa; Chordata; Testudines; Testudinidae.
AGCAGCUCUUGCAUGGCCACAAAGAGCAGUGCAUUGUGAUAGCUAUCCCAGCAUACAUGUGGCUGCAAUAUGCCUUUCAAAUGGGAGUGUGGGGGUCAUUG